This 72-nucleotide transfer RNA is filed under the name Candidatus Omnitrophota bacterium. Its description in RNAcentral is "tRNA-Thr". It matches the Rfam family "tRNA". Rfam says of the family: Transfer RNA (tRNA) molecules are approximately 80 nucleotides in length. Their secondary structure includes four short double-helical elements and three loops (D, anti-codon, and T loops). Further hydrogen bonds mediate the characteristic L-shaped molecular structure. tRNAs have two regions of fundamental functional importance: the anti-codon, which is responsible for specific mRNA codon recognition, and the 3' end, to which the tRNAs corresponding amino acid is attached (by aminoacyl-tRNA synthetases). tRNAs cope with the degeneracy of the genetic code in two manners: having more than one tRNA (with a specific anti-codon) for a particular amino acid; and 'wobble' base-pairing, i.e. permitting non-standard base-pairing at the 3rd anti-codon position. Lineage: Bacteria; Pseudomonadati; Candidatus Omnitrophota. The record is from RNAcentral.
GCCCGUGUAGUUCAGUGGUAGAACGGCUCAUUCGUAAUGAGCAAGUCGCCGGUUCAAAUCCGGCCGCGGGCU